UACGUAGGCAGCGAGCGUUGUUCGGAGUUACUGGGCGUAAAGGGUGCGUAGGCGGCUUUGUAAGUCAGUGGUGAAAUAUGGCAGCUUAACUGUCAAGGUGCCAUUGAUACUGCGGAGCUUGAGUACAGAUGAGGUAGGCGGAAUUGACGGUGUAGCGGUGAAAUGCUUAGAUAUCGUCAAGAACACCUAUAGCGAAGGCAGCUUACUAGGCUGUAACUGACGCUGAGGCACGAAAGUGUGGGGAUCAAACAGG
This 253-nucleotide ribosomal RNA is filed under the name uncultured bacterium. RNAcentral's name for it is "partial 16S ribosomal RNA". It matches the Rfam family "Bacterial small subunit ribosomal RNA", at positions 524 to 776 of the family's 1533-position model. The record is from RNAcentral.